UUUACUCAGACAUGUCAAGUUUUGUUUUGGUUUAUUCGUCCUUUUCUUUUGGCCCUUCGCAAGGUUUUAACUUGUUUAUUGGCCGUUUUAAUUAUUAUAAUAUCAAUAAUAAUAACAGGUAACAAUUCGUUUAUUUUGAAUGUUGGGGAGUGUAAAUAGUGAAACUGCUACCUAUUUAUUAAAAGAAAACGGAAUAUGCAUUCAAGACAUACAAUUCUUUCUUUAAACAAGUUUUCGAGAAUGAGGAAACUAACUCAGAGGUGACAGUCAGUACAUCCGGAUCGAUUUGGAACUAUUCUCAUAAAAUAAAUGAUAUACAAGUCCACUAACUACCGGGAAAUUAUGUUUUUGUUCGUUUAUAAAUCAUCUUGGAAGCAUUCAACUAAACAAUGUUUUCAUUCAUCGGCACAACUUAAAAUGAUAUGAAGCUGAUGGCUAAUAAUGUUGGAUUCAAUGGGAAUCAAUAAAGUUAAAUACGUUGAUUCAAAAUACCAGAAGGAAUUCACUGUCAUUCAAAUAGCUAAAUUAGUAGUUACUGAGAAUGUUCACGAUCUUAUUCCGGAAAAAAAUUACCAUAUGCUGUGAUAACGAUUUGCUGUUAAUAAAAACUCGUGCCGAUUAUCUUUCAUAGGAAAACGUUGCAUAUAUUUAUACAAGAAAAAUAUUAAACAUAUUGAGUAAAGUUACAAUGCAUUAAGAUCUUCUAACUCUUCUUCGUGAAAAACAUCCAAAUCUGCCUCAAAGUGAUCGAGUUUUUAAAAUUUGCCUUCAUCCUCGUUUUUUCGGAUUUAGCUUCUGGUAGUGGCAACGGUUCUAAGGUUAUUGGACCAGGAAGUAUAACAAAUCCCGAGUUAGAUUUGUAUAAGGACAUUUGAGACCAGCUUUAAUCUAAUAAUAUCAUACUUGUACAAUAGAUUUUCAUUAAACGUGCAAUAUUGAAAGCA
Malaya genurostris is the source of this 944-nucleotide long non-coding RNA. RefSeq lists it as uncharacterized. The transcript has 3 exons. Lineage: Eukaryota; Metazoa; Arthropoda; Insecta; Diptera; Culicidae. The record is from RefSeq and is a predicted model, not a curated record.